This 200-nucleotide ribosomal RNA is filed under the name uncultured bacterium. Its description in RNAcentral is "partial 16S ribosomal RNA". It matches the Rfam family "Bacterial small subunit ribosomal RNA", at positions 28 to 227 of the family's 1533-position model. The record is from RNAcentral.
GACGAACGCUGGCGGCGUGCUUAACACAUGCAAGUCGAGCGAGGCCCUUCCUUCGGGGAGGUGUUCUAGCGGCGAACGGGUGAGUAACACGUGGGCAACCUGCCCUCAGCUCUGGGAUAACUCCAAGAAAUUGGGGCUAAUACCGGAUAUGACCGCUGACCGCAUGGUCUGGUGGUGGAAAGAUUUAUCGGCUGGGGAUG